This 424-nucleotide ribosomal RNA is filed under the name uncultured bacterium. RNAcentral's name for it is "bacterial SSU rRNA". It matches the Rfam family "Bacterial small subunit ribosomal RNA", at positions 359 to 776 of the family's 1533-position model. The record is from RNAcentral.
GAAUCUUUCACAAUGGGGGAAACCCUGAUGGAGCGACGCCGCGUGGGGGAUGAAGGGCUUCGGCUCGUAAACCCCUGCCAUUUGUGAACAAAGUUUGUGGUCUAAUACAUCACAAAUUGAUAGUAGCAGAAGAGGAAGGGACGGCUAACUCUGUGCCAGCAGCCGCGGUAAUACAGAGGUCCCGAGCGUUGUUCGGAUUCACUGGGCGUAAAGGGUGCGUAGGUGGUAAGGCAAGUUUGAUGUGAAAGCUCCGAGCCCAACUCGGAAAUGGCAUUGAAAACUGCCUAACUAGCGGAUUGGAGGGGGGACUGGAAUUCUCGGUGUAGCGGUGAAAUGCGUAGAUAUCGAGAGGAACACCAGUGGCGAAGGCGAGUCCCUGGACAAAUCCUGACACUGAGGCACGAAAGCUAGGGUAGCAAACAGG